This 74-nucleotide transfer RNA is filed under the name Brucella abortus. Its description in RNAcentral is "tRNA-Met". It matches the Rfam family "tRNA". From Rfam's summary of the family: Transfer RNA (tRNA) molecules are approximately 80 nucleotides in length. RNAcentral also lists the same sequence under 15 other names. The record is from RNAcentral. Lineage: Bacteria; Pseudomonadati; Pseudomonadota; Alphaproteobacteria; Hyphomicrobiales; Brucellaceae.
GGGGUGGAGCAGCCCGGUAGCUCGUCAGGCUCAUAACCUGAAGGCCGCAGGUUCAAAUCCUGCCCCCGCAACCA